Molecule: ribosomal RNA, 401 nt
Filed under: uncultured bacterium
Lineage: Bacteria
Description: bacterial SSU rRNA
Rfam family: Bacterial small subunit ribosomal RNA
Source: RNAcentral
GGGGAAUAUUGCACAAUGGGCGAAAGCCUGAUGCAGCAACGCCGCGUGAGUGAUGAAGGCCUUCGGGUUGUAAAGCUCUGUCUUCUGGGACGAUAAUGACGGUACCAGAGGAGGAAGCCACAGCUAACUACGUGCCAGCAGCCGCGGUAAUACGUAGGUGGCAAGCGUUGUCCGGAUUUACUGGGCGUAAAGGAUGCGUAGGCGGAUACUUAAGUCAGAUGUGAAAAUCCCGGGCUUAACUUGGGAACUGCAUUUGAAACUGGGUAUCUAGAGUGCGGGAGAGGAAAGUGGAAUUCCUAGUGUAGCGGUGAAAUGCGUAGAGAUUAGGAAGAACACCAGUGGCGAAGGCGACUUUCUGGACCGUAACUGACGCUGAGGCAUGAAAGCGUGGGGAGCAAACA